AUGUUGGGUGCCAUCAUAGGAAUGGGCAAAACGGGAAACAGAGAAAGUGCGCGCACAGGGGCGCGAGGAUAUGACAACAAAAGGCAAAGGGCGAGGUCCAACGGCCCAUCCCCGGCUGAACUCUCUGAGCUUUGGGCCUUUCCUGACCAAGUUACAGGCGCUUACUACCAAACGGGCCCCUCCAGUAGUUCAGAGCUCCCGACACUACCUCCUGGCUGGUCGUCUCCAGCCCCUCUCCAUGCCGUGGUGCCAGGGAAAGGUAUGAACCAGCAGCAUUACCAUCUGGGCACUGAAGCUUUCCGAGGUGAAACCUGGGACGCUGCUUUCCACAAUAUCUUUUCCUGCUUGAUGAUGUGAUGGAUUGUAUUACUUAAUUUUCAUCUUGCUGCUGGACUGGUUGUUGCCAUCUCUCCCGUCACGACCUCUGCUGCCACUUCCUGUGCUCUGUCGCCUGCUCCAUGGUCCAGUCUACCCACUUUUGGGUGCACAGAUGGAUGGAUCGCUCAGGUGUCCUGGUAUGCUGGGCAGAAGCAUUUUUUCCCCUCAGUUUUAGAGAUCUGAUGAGUUGUAAAUCAAAGGGGAGAGAAAAAAAGAACAGGUCUCACUAUCAUGAUGCUGAUGUCACUCCUUUAGAUGUUGAACCAGCCUUCCAUGACUGGGCUAAAUCCCACUUGGUCAUGGUGUGUAAUACUUUAUAUGCUUGUUAAGUCACUUCAGUCUUGUCUAGCUCUUUGCGACGGCUUGGAGUGUAGCCCUCCAGGCUCCUCUGUCCAUGGGACUCUCCAAGAAAGAGUACUGGAGUGGGUUGUCAUGCCCUCCUCCAAGGGAUUUUCCCGAUCCAGGAAUCGAACCUGCAUCUCGUGUCUUCUGCAUUGGCAGGUGCUUCUACGCUAGCACCACCUGGGAAGUCCAAUACUUUAUAUACAUUGUUGGAUGUGGUUUGCUUAUAGUUUGUUGAGAAUUUUUAGGUCUAUGUUCAUGAGACAUUGUUCUGAAAUUUUCUUGUCAUAGGUAUCUGAUUUUGGUGUUAGGGAUGCUGGCAUCAGAGAGUGGGUUGAGGAAGUCUUUUCUCUGCUUCUGUCCUCUAAAGUAGAUUGUAGAGAGUUGAUAUAAUUUCUUUCUUAAAUGUCUGGUAGAGUUCCAAGAAUACCCAUUUGGGCUUCAGGCUUUGUGUUUUGGAAAGUAACUAACUAUUGAAUUCAUUUCCUGAAGAGAUUUAGGCUUAUUCAAAUGGUCUGUUUCUUCUUGUGUGAAUUUUGGCAAAUUGUGUCUCUUGAGUAAUUGGUCCAUUUCAUCUAGUUUAUCAAAUUUGUGGGCAUAGAUUUGUUUAUGGUAUUCCUUUAUUAUCCUUUUAAUGACCAUGUAAUCUUAACAAUGUUUCCUCUUUCAUUUCUGGUAUGUCUCUGGGGAGGCCUCCUUCUGAAUGGGUCUCCAUAGAAUUGUUAACUUUUCAGACUUGUCCACACUGAGCUUCCAGAAGCUUGUCAAUGACAGUUCAGAUUUUCCUUCUCUGGCACUGGUUCCCACAGUGGUUUCUGCUCCCGAGUCUUUGUUCUAGUAAGCUGUGACUCCUCCUCGGAUUCACCUGUCUCUCCAGUCUUAGGGACAGUGGUUUGCCCUGUGGGCUCACCUCUUUCCCAGAUCGAAGAAAAUUUGUUGAUUUUUCAGUCUGAGCUCUUUCCUUGUUAGGACAGAGUGGCAACCCCCAGGCUCCUUAAAUGUGAAACUUGAAGUCUCCUUGUCUUCUUCUUUUUUAAAAAAAAUAGUCCAUAGUCUGGCCAUCCAGGCAUGGACUAUGGUUAUUUUAUUUUAUUUUCUUGCACAAAAUGGCUUGUAGGAUCUUAGUUCCCCAACCAUAGAUCAAACCUGGGCCCUCAGCAGUAAAAAUGCAGAAUCCCAAACAACCGACCAUGACAGAAUUUCCUCGUCUUCAUUUUUGGAAGGAGUUUCUGAAGAAUUGCUUAUUAAUUCUAAGUUUUAUCUGCUCUUUAUCUGUCCUUAUUUGCUCCCACAUCCCUAAUAAGCACUUCAGCUUUAACAUAUAGUCUUUGUCUUUCCUUCUGUAUUGUAAAUUCCUUUGGGGCAAGAGAUGUCUUUAAACUCUGUAUUAUUCGGCCCAGCAGAAUGUUUAGUACAGAAUCAUCACUGGAUAAAUAACAAAACAUAUAACAGCUGAGGAAAAUGGUGUUUUUCUUUUUCUCCCAGCUUCAGAUAGUUCUUAUAACAGACAAAUUGUCUUAGACAAGAAAUAUUUUCAAGAAAUAAGUCUAGUGGAGACAGCAGGAUUGUAUAGUCAGCCAGAUCUGGGUGUCGCUGUUGUUCAGUUGCUCAGUUGUGUCCGACUCUUUGUUACCCCAUGGACUGCAGCACGUCAGGCUUCCCUGUGAAAUUAUUACUAUUGGGAUUUGCUGUUUUAGGCCUUUAGAGUAAUGCCAGAAACCAAUUAUUUUUCCAAAUUGGUCUUUUCCAGUUAUUUCCUUGAAAGAAGGAACUUUUCUGAUUUUUAUGGAGCAUGAAAACAUUUCCAGUAUAAUAUGUGAUAUCUUAAACCUAAAACUGCAGUGCUUACAGAGUGGCUGUGAGAGCCUAGAUGCCACAUCCAUCCUCUCUGGUAGAGUUAUGAAUAUGUGGGGAUGAAUUGCCUAAGUCUAAAUGAAAGAGAAAGACACAGAUGAGACAUUUGAUUAUCUUUAAAAGCCCAGAAUUGUUAACUGUGUUUCCCUGAAACACACUUCAGUGUGAUUUCACACUUCAGUGAAAUCAGAGGGAUGGGAGAGGAGCAUAGAGGGAAGAGGCAAGAGAGGCUCACCACUCUCUUCUCUGAGCUUCAGUUCCUCAUGGGUUGCCAUCCCUCACAUUUAGAAUAUUUAGAUUUCAGGGACUUCCCUGGUAGUCCAGUGGUUAAGACUUGGCACUGCCAGUGUAGGGGACACAGGUUGGAUCCCUGGUCUGGGAACUAAGACUCCACAUGCCAUACAGAGCGGCCAAAUUUUUUAAAUUUUUCAAUAAAAUAUGGAGAUUUCAGAUUCAGCAUAUGCAGUUGUAGAGUAUGG
This 3053-nucleotide long non-coding RNA is filed under the name Cervus hanglu yarkandensis (Yarkand deer). RNAcentral describes it as "lncRNA (ENSCHYG00000009934.1)". Lineage: Eukaryota; Metazoa; Chordata; Mammalia; Artiodactyla; Cervidae. The record is from RNAcentral.